AUUGGACGCUGGCGGCAUGCCUUACACAUGCAAGUCGAACGGUAACGCGGGGCAACCUGGCGACGAGUGGCGAACGGGUGAGUAAUACAUCGGAACGUGCCCAGUAGUGGGGGAUAGCCCGGCGAAAGCCGGAUUAAUACCGCAUACGACCUACGGGUGAAAGCAGGGGAUCGCAAGACCUUGCGCUAUUGGAGCGGCCGAUGUCAGAUUAGGUUGUUGGUGGGGUAAAAGCCUACCAAGCCGACGAUCUGUAGCUGGUCUGAGAGGACGACCAGCCACACUGGGACUGAGACACGGCCCAGACUCCUACGGGAGGCAGCAGUGGGGAAUUUUGGACAAUGGGCGCAAGCCUGAUCCAGCCAUGCCGCGUGCGGGAAGAAGGCCUUC
RNAcentral lists this ribosomal RNA (387 nucleotides) under uncultured bacterium. Its description in RNAcentral is "bacterial SSU rRNA". It matches the Rfam family "Bacterial small subunit ribosomal RNA", at positions 29 to 419 of the family's 1533-position model. The record is from RNAcentral.